Molecule: long non-coding RNA, 2177 nt
Organism: Passer domesticus (house sparrow)
Lineage: Eukaryota; Metazoa; Chordata; Aves; Passeriformes; Passeridae
Exons: 3
Source: RefSeq, a predicted model, not a curated record
UUUUUUUUUUUUUUUUUUUUUUUCUGUCAACCACCACUUAUUUUCAUUAAUUGCCUGUUUAUACUCUUACACCAACACGAGAAAAAAUCUUGAACUUGUGCAUAUUCUCACCCUUCCCUUUCUGAGUCAUGCAAAAACCCUUUACAUCCAAAGACUAUUCCAGAGAGCACGCGCUCCAACCAAGCGAGUGUGAAGUCGGAGGAGCUAAAGGCUAUGAGAGGAGACCAGAAGCUGUGGCAUGGGCAUGUUUCCUUUGUUGGGAUUCUUUCCUGCACUACUAGAAACCUUCAGGGAGGUGCUUUCAAGAUACUUUAAAAAAAAAAAAAAAAGGGAAUGAAAAAAAGGCUUAGGUGAAAAAGCAGAUGCAAAUUUUGUCACAGAUCUUCCAUGCCCGGCAGAAAUAGCAGCCCAUUUUGCUAUGGAACAAAGUGUCAGUUCAUCUCUCCCCACCCUAGAAAAACGAUAAGUGGGUGAGAAAAACACUUCAGAAAAACCAAAUGGUUGGGUGGGAUCACAAGUGAUACAAUGAAAGGGGGAAAAGUAAACAGUGUCGAAAUAGGAAAUGGAGGUGGUAAAAAGCAGGACUGCUGGGGUUGCGGAGGUUACAUUAAAGAGGAAAACAAGAGCCAUGUCUGCAUCCCAAGAUCCCUCCAAAAGUAAAGAAAUUCGCCUCAGCCUGUGCAGCUGCCUGAAUUGAGGACUUCUCUGCAGACCACAUCAAGGCACUGCCUGCAACUUCUAGGUGCUCUAGAGCAACACAAGCAUCAAUACACAACACAGAAAAGAAGAAAGCAAAAAACACUUCUGUGCUAUGGGACUGCAGAGUGGAAAGGGCUGACUUCUAAGGCUGUGUUCCUGAGAGCCUGGAUGACCCAGGCUGACAGCUGGGGCAUGCGUGCUGCUGCACAGCCUGGCCAUGCUCCACAAAUCCAGAAAGCAGCUUCUUCUGCCCUCAGCCUUGGGGCCUUGGUGUGCCCUCUGCUCUCUCUGGCACUGGCAGCAUCUGGUGAGCCACACAACAUCCACCUAACCCUCCUGCAGUGGCCCCAGCUGUUCUCCUGACCUGAACUGCACAUGUCCUCUUACACACCCUGCCUUGCUCAGCACUUCUCUGGUCACCAAGGCGGACACAAGGUCUGAAUCUUUUACUUCCUUUCCAAGCUCCUGGCUUUGGGGCCAUCGUAUUAUUUACGAUGUCACAGUGCGAAGGCCAGGAAUGAGGGAGGUUUGCAUUCCAAGAGAGCCACUUCUUUCCCAUGAAAACUAUGCACAAUCCUAACACCCAGAGCAUGUUUUCUACUACAGACAAAUAAUUUCCAUGUUACGUGGUCUUGGGCCACCAAUAACCUGAAGAUAAAACUGGAAAUACAGCUGAAGGCCUGAAGAUUGUACAGCCUGCUGCCUGGAUGCCUGCAGGUCCCAUGCCUUGAUGACAGCACCAUUUCACACUACAUGAUUCCUUCACAGUUCAAUUAAACUAGAAAGGGAUGGCAGAAGACACCUGUGACACUAAGGUCACCAUCGUUUCGACAAUGCUGUCAGGCACAUGGUGGAUGGAGCUGUGAAGGGCCAGGACCUGCAUCCAGUGAUCCUUGUGGGUCCCUUCCAGCUCAGGAUAUUCUGCGAUUUUGUGAUCCUGCUGAAACCCUUGAGGGCAUUAGAACCAGGAAAGAUUUUUUUUUUCCUCAUACAGAACAAAUGUUCAUUUUGAUCCUAGAAACAGCAGUUGCUUUGGCUGAAACCUCUCUGUUUAAACAGACACCCAAAUAAGAACAUCAGAAGGAAUGUCCUUCAUAGGUAACAGUAAUCUUGCCACCUGUAGUUCUUUUUUAUCCUUGAGAUGUCUGUAGCUUUACAGUAAAUUAGGGUGGGUUUUUUUCUUCUUUUUGUUUUUAUUUUUAAAAUCUCAGAAUUUAAAUAUGUUGAAACAGGAAGCAUGCUUCAUUUAAGUGAUGUCAGAAUUUCUUUCUUGAGCUGUUUCAUGGGAAGAAUCCUUACUUCUUCUCUGUUUACACUGAAGGUUCAUGAAGCCAAUGUAAACAGCAAAAUGAGUGUAAACACCAGGGAUUAACUUUAGGAGAUUUGAAAGCAACAAGGCUUGCCUUAAUAAAAUCAAGCAAAUAAUUAAGCAGCAAGGUUUGCUUUAAUAAAAUUAAGCAGAUAGUUUAGUAUUUCUA